UCCAGCUUAUCGCUGGCGGUCUCCUGCGAGUUCCCAACUGAAUGAUGGCAACACAGGACAAGGGUUGCGCUCGUUGCGGGACUUAACCCAACAUCUCACGACACGAGCUGACGACAGCCAUGCAGCACCUGUGCACGGACUCCGAAGAGGGGCCGAUGUUUCCACCGGCUUUCCCGUGCAUGUCAAGCCCAGGUAAGGUUCUUCGGGUCGCAUCGAAUUAAGCCGCAUGCUCCGCCGCUUGUGCGGGGACCCGUCAAUUCCUUUGAGUUUCAACCUUGCGGUCGUACUCCCCAGGCGGGGUACUUCCUGCGUUAGCGCCGGCACCCAGAGGGUCGCUCCCCCAGGCACCUAGUACCCAUCGUUUACGGCGUGGACUAC
Molecule: unclassified non-coding RNA, 378 nt
Filed under: uncultured bacterium
Lineage: Bacteria
Description: contains 16S-23S intergenic spacer region
Source: RNAcentral